UGCUUCUUUGUGCAAUUAUAACCUUUGCUUGCUCUUCAAGAGUAAAGUUCUUCCAUGUGUAGCUUGAAUCAAUGUACUCUUUAUACAACUCCAAGACCUCAUUGUGGCUAACACAACCAGGGUUAGUGAAGUUGUAGAUACCAGUUAGGUUUCUUUUUGCCAUUUCAAUGGAGAUUGGGAGGAGUUCAUCAAGAAUGGUCAUGGAGUUUGGAAUGUCUACAACUUUUUCAUAUCGACUAAUUUUUGUGAUGAAGUUUCGGGGGUUUGUAAGAUCGGAUGAAAUUGGCAUUCUUACACGCAAUGUGCAUACAUUUUCAUAGUUUUUGAGCAAUUCCUCUACCUGUGGAUCAAACAAAUUAGUUUUCAUUGGUAUAAAUUAUAAUUGGGUAGAUUUUUAAAAAGUACAAGUGACUUAAUAUAAGAAUUUGGAUAAGUGGCAACAUGCAUGAAGUGUUUUUCAUAAGAUUUUUGAAGUGCAAUGUUGUAACAAAAAGAAAUGAAAGUAGGAUGUUAAAAUACACAACAAAAUGAAAGUGUGUACUUGUUCAUGAUCUUAGGUAUCCAAACAUAUUUUUAUUUUGUCUAAUAUCAAUAAAAUUGAAAUAAAUAUGGCAGAUGGAAGUAGAUUAAACUAAAAAAGUUUUCACUUUUUGACAAAAUGCAAACCAAGAUCUUCGAUCUACCACGUUUUAUGAACAAAUUCACACAAAAACGUUAUAAAAACACAAAUUGUCAAAAGGUGUAUUAAAGUAUGAAAAAAGAAUAAAUCUUCAAAAUUGAAGUAAUAAUGCAUCUUCAAAAUUGAAGUAAUAAUGCAGUAAGUCAACUUAGGUUAAUACUUUCAUUUUGUGGGUCCCAAAUUAUACUUCUCUAUAAAGUAAGAGGUCAAAUUGACCAUGAAACAAGACACAAAACAAGCUUAAGCUAAUGAAAGAUUUUAUUUUAUUUUUCUUGAAAACGUACAUCAAGAUUUUAGAUCCACCACAUUUCUAUCAACAUAUUCAGUUAUUCACACAAAAAUAUCAUACGAACACAAAAUCUUCAAAGGUGUACACUAAAGUAUGAAAAAAAAAUGGAAUAUUGAAAUAAAUAUCAAAUCUUCUUACAAUUUAUCUUUGUCCUAUGGUUUUUGUUUCAUGGGUCCCAUAUUAUAUUAUAGGUCUCAUUUAAGUAAAAACUAGUAUGGACACAUGAAAUGAGGCAUAAGUGUAAAAGUAAACUAACAAAAGCUUAGAUUUUUCUUUAUAAUGCCUAUAUAGAUCUUAUAUCCACCAUUCUUUUAUCAACAAAUUUUAAACAAAAAUAUCUAAAUAACACAAAAUCCUCACAUGGGUCAUUGCUCAAAAUCUUCAACAUUAUACUAAUGUUGAAUAAAUUGGAAUCUUGAAGUAAAUAUGAAGUUUUCUUACACAAUCAUAGCUUUACCCAUUGGUGGGCCCCAAAUCAUAGCUUUCGUUAUGGUAAAAAGUUAGUAUGGACCCAUGAAAUGACACAUAAACCAUAAUGAAAGCUUGGAUCUUUCUUUAAAAUGCACAUCAAGACCUUAGAUCCACCACAUUUUCAUCAACAAUUUCACACAAAAUAUAUCAUAAAAGCACAAAGUUAUUACAGUACAUUGCAAAACUUUAAUAUUGUCCUAAAAAUGGAAUCUUAAAGUCAAUAUCAAAUUUCCUACACAAUAGAUUUACUCAUAGGUGGGUCCCAAAUUAAAGCUUUCUUUUAGGCAAGAAGAUAGUAUAGAUCUAUGAAACGAAAAUGUCAAAUAGAAUGAAAACUAAAUAUUUAUUUAAAAUGCACAUCAAUAUCUUAGAUCCACCACAUUUUUAUCAAGAUCUCACCCAACUCUUUAACAUUAUACUAAAUUUUAUACAUAAAAAAACUAAGUUUUAUUAUUUUGAGUCCUAAAGAUAAAUACGACCCAUGAAAGGAGGCACAAUUUUCUAUAUGCAAAUGAAAGCUUUUAGAUUUGUUUUAAAAAUUCACAUCAAGAUCUUUGGAUCCACCUCAUUUUUCAAGAAAUUCACAUAAAAAUAUCACAAAAUCAUCAAAUGGGCAAUCGAAAUCAUCAAGAUUCUACCAACAUUUGAAAAAAAAUGAAAUCUUGAAAUAUUAAUACCAAUUUUUCUUAGAAUAUUACCAUUGCUUUAGUCUUGGAGUAGUAAGAUCCGACGAAAUUUGGAGUAUCCUCUUCCUUAAACCCGACACCCGACCCGAGUUGAUGCUCCGAAUCAUACUCAAAUAUACAUCCAGUAGCAUAGUUGAUCAAAAUCAACCCCUUUUCACGGCAAACGUCGGCGAGAGUUAGGGUUCCGACGACGUUAGUACGUAUGGUCUCCACCUUGUGUGACUCACACCAGUCAACGUUUGGGCGGCCGGUAACUCCGGCAGCGUUGAAUACAUGGGUAGGAUUGACGGCGGUGAUGUCAGCGAUAAGGGUGUCGCGAGACUCAAGAC
This 2454-nucleotide long non-coding RNA is filed under the name Lactuca sativa (garden lettuce). Its description in RNAcentral is "long non-coding RNA (LSAT_LNC006755)". The record is from RNAcentral. Lineage: Eukaryota; Viridiplantae; Streptophyta; Magnoliopsida; Asterales; Asteraceae.